GAUAAGUUCACACUCUCUUGUUUGAUCUGUUUUGGGAUGCGUUUUAUGCAAUGGUGAUGUGCCGUGUUGUAGUCAACUGGAGUUGGAGGAAUCAAGAUUGUGAAUACGCCUUGGUGAAUAUAUGUAUCUUUAGAAGUUUCUAAGUAGAAAAAAAUUGUGAUAUGUAUUGUUGUUCUUCAUUAAAUACAAAUCCUUUUGGUCUCUUAAUAAAAAUUAUUAUUAUUAUUAU
Arabidopsis lyrata subsp. lyrata is the source of this 229-nucleotide long non-coding RNA. RefSeq lists it as uncharacterized. Lineage: Eukaryota; Viridiplantae; Streptophyta; Magnoliopsida; Brassicales; Brassicaceae. The record is from RefSeq and is a predicted model, not a curated record. The transcript has 2 exons.